RNAcentral lists this ribosomal RNA (460 nucleotides) under uncultured bacterium. RNAcentral describes it as "partial 16S ribosomal RNA". It matches the Rfam family "Bacterial small subunit ribosomal RNA", at positions 338 to 795 of the family's 1533-position model. The record is from RNAcentral.
CCUACGGGUGACAGCAGUGAGGAAUAUUUGUCAAUGGGCUUACGCCUGAACCUGCCAAGUCGCGUGAGGGCAGACUGCCCUAUGGGUUGUAAACCUCUUUUGUCAGGGAGCAACGCCGGCUACGUGUAGCCGGACUUAUAGUACCUUCAGAAAAAGCCUCGGCUAACUCCGUGCCAGCAGCCGCGGUAAUACGGAGGCUGCGAGCGUUAUCCGGAUUUAUUGGGUUUAAAGGGUGCGUAGGCGGAAUGCCAAGUCAGCGGUAAAAUCGCGGGGCUCAACCUCGCUCCGCCGUUGAAACUGGCGGUCUUGAGUGGGCGAGAGGUAGGCGGAAUGCGUGGUGUAGCGGUGAAAUGCAUAGAUAUCACGCAGAACUCCGAUUGCGAAGGCAGCAUACCGGCGCCCAACUGACGCUGAAGCACGAAAGCGUGGGUAUCGAACAGGAUUAGAUACCCUUGUAGUC